GCGUUGGGGCCAGACACGCCUAGGACAAGGGGGAGGACUUAAGAUCCUCUGGCGUAGGCCUUCGUGGGUUCAAAUCCCACCCCCCGCACCA
This 91-nucleotide transfer RNA is filed under the name Candidatus Bathyarchaeota archaeon. Its description in RNAcentral is "tRNA-Leu". Lineage: Archaea; Thermoproteati; Candidatus Bathyarchaeota. The record is from RNAcentral.